UUCCGGUUGAUCCUGCCGGAGGUUACUGCUAUCGGUGUUCGCCUAAGCCAUGCGAGUCAUAUGUAGCAAUACAUGGCGUACUGCUCAGUAACACGUGGAUAACCUGCCCUUGGGACCAGCAUAACCCCGGGAAACUGGGGAUAAUUCCGGAUAACGCAUAUGUGCUGGAAUGCUCUAUGCGUAAAAUGGAUUCGUCUGCCCAAGGAUGGGUCUGCGGCCUAUCAGGUAGUAGUGGGUGUAAUGUACCUACUAGCCAGCGACGGGUACGGGUUGUGAGAGCAAGAGCCCGGAGAUGGAUUCUGAGACAUGAAUCCAGGCCCUACGGGGCGCAGCAGGCGCGAAAACUUUACAAUGCGGGAAACCGUGAUAAGGGGACACCGAGUGCCAGCAUCAUAUGCUGGCUGUCCAGGUGUGUAAAAUACACCUGUUAGCAAGGGCCGGGCAGGACCGGUGCCAGCCGCCGCGGUAACACCGGCGGCCCGAGUGGUGAUCGUGAUUAUUGGGUCUAAAGGGUCCGUAGCCGGUUUGGUCAGUCCUCCGGGAAAUCUGAUAGCUUAACUAUUAGGCUUUCGGGGGAUACUGCCAGACUUGGAACCGGGAGAGGUAAGAGGUAC
RNAcentral lists this ribosomal RNA (614 nucleotides) under uncultured archaeon. RNAcentral's name for it is "bacterial SSU rRNA". It matches the Rfam family "Archaeal small subunit ribosomal RNA", at positions 1 to 618 of the family's 1478-position model. The record is from RNAcentral.